AAAAAAAAAAAAAAAAACUUCAGUAUUAUAGUGCGAUGUGAUUUCCAGCUUGCAUAGUUUGCCUUUCAUAUACUGAGCAAAAAAUUUCAGUAAUUAUGAAAUUAUAUGCAAUGAAACCUAUAUUGAGUGCUUUGAUGUUUCUAUAUGAAUUCUAUGGUUAUUUGGUUCCAUAUAAAGUACAAUUACUUUAUUACGAAGAAUAAGAAGAUUUCACAUAAAUUUAUAACUCAUCUCAUGAUAUUUUUGUAAAAUAAUUUUUUUUUCCGUAAAGUAAUUAAUUAUGAAUUUUAUUAACUUAACAAAAAAAAUUUCCUCACAUAAAAAAGCACAUAUAAUAUUUUUUAAAAAAUCUAAGAUAAAUUAUGUAUGGUAAAUACUGUUAAAAAAUUAUAAGCAC
This 397-nucleotide unclassified non-coding RNA is filed under the name Hevea brasiliensis (rubber tree). The record is from RNAcentral. Lineage: Eukaryota; Viridiplantae; Streptophyta; Magnoliopsida; Malpighiales; Euphorbiaceae.